Molecule: ribosomal RNA, 68 nt
Filed under: Trichoderma koningiopsis
Lineage: Eukaryota; Fungi; Ascomycota; Sordariomycetes; Hypocreales; Hypocreaceae
Description: partial 18S ribosomal RNA
Rfam family: Eukaryotic small subunit ribosomal RNA (bases 1-54)
Source: RNAcentral
GGAAGUAAAAGUCGUAACAAGGUCUCCGUUGGUGAACCAGCGGAGGGAUCAUUACCGAGUUUACAACU